RNAcentral lists this long non-coding RNA (5233 nucleotides) under Capsicum annuum. RNAcentral describes it as "long non-coding RNA (CANN_LNC012942)". Lineage: Eukaryota; Viridiplantae; Streptophyta; Magnoliopsida; Solanales; Solanaceae. The record is from RNAcentral.
AAGAAAGCCGAUCAAAACUAAAAUGUAGAAAGGAAGAUAUCGGUAUUCACUCCACAAUUUCAUUUUUUCUAAGUUUUGGGCAGCUAAUGAAGGUGGCCCAGUGCAAUUGAUGUAACAUGAGAGUUAAAAAUCAGAAGAUCCCCAUCACGUUGGAGAUUGGAGAUUACAGACCUUAAUGGGGACUCAACAUUUGCUGAAGGAUUUGAUGGUGGCACUCUUUUCAAUUUUCAUCUAGUCAAUCAAAUUCAUGUACGACCCCUCUCUCAAUAUGAUCCUCUCUGCCUGAAUUAAUUUAUAGUAGUAAUUUCUAUCUAUAAUUUCACUAUCUAUACAACUGAUAUACAAUAAUAUGAUUAUUACAUGAAGUUACUACAUUUACAAAAAAAAAAAAUAUCCUAAUAAUAAGUAAAAUUAAGAGCCCGUUUGGAUAGGAUUAACAUCUGAUCAAAUUAGCUUUUAAUUUAUUUGUUUAUUUUAAUUUUUUUAGUUGUUUGGUAAAAUUUAAAAGUGUUACCAAAAAGCUAAAAAAUGAUUGAAAAAACAAAAGUGAGAAGCUGGGGUAUCCUACUUUUUUGCUUUUUAGAUUAAAAAUUUUUUUAGGUUUGAUCAAAAUAUUUACUUUUUUAUCCUUUAUUUUUUUUCUCCAAUUCCAGCAAUACCCUGAACUUGUAACCUUUAAAUAUAUAAUUUUUUUCCUUUUUCUCUUUGCUACUUCUCUUCAUCUUUCUGCUUUUAUCUUUACUGAAUUCAUCAUUACAUAGGAGUAUUGCUCAAAAAUUUCAUUUUAAAAUUAAAAAUUAUAAAUAAUUCACUUUAUUUAUGGUGUUAACAACUUUGAGGAUAUUUAAGUCAUUUUAACAGCAAAAAAGUGUGUAACAUCAGUUGUUUACCAAACACAUCAAUAGCUUUUUUUUUAGUUUUCAACACUUAGAUCUAAACACUUAUCCGCUUAAUUUAUAAGCACUUAUUUUCAUCUUUUAAUCAAUUAAGCUAAAAAGCUAUUUUUUUAAUCCUAUCCAAACGGGCUCUUAAUAACAUUUGACACCAAAUUCAAAUCAAAUAGAGAUGUUAAAAAAUAAAAUAAACUGUUAAUGAGUAAUAAUAUAACUAACUAAUUAAUAUUAUUAACCUAUUUUUUCUAAUUGAUCACAAUAAAAUACAAAAAAAUGUCAAUAUUUAGUCCAUUAAAAGUGAAAAUAAACUCCUAAAAGAAAUUCCCAUGGCACUUAUAAGUUACAGUGUGUUCAACAUCGCCACAUUAUCUUGAUCAAACAUAUUUGAUUCCUUAAAAGAUUUAGUAUUUUAAUUAUUUAUAUACUUUAUAAACAUAUUUAAUAUUUAAAUAUCUAUGAUGGUCUAAACAGACUUUGAGUUUGAAUUUUUUUUUAAUUCUUAGUACUCCAUUUUAUUUUUUAAUUAUUUUUUAUUUGACCCACGAGCCAGCCUAGCCCAUAUUGCUCAAGCCCCACGGGCCAACAGGCAUUUACGGACCGAGCUAAAAAGUUUUGUUCUUAAAUAGAUUAUUAAAGGGGAAAGGACAAGAAUAGUCACUCGGCUAAAAUAAUUAUUGCCGAGUAGCCAUUGAUUUUGAAUUUUCAAAAUAUAGGCAUUUAGGUCUUUUUUGCUACUAUCUUCAUUUAUUUUUUUUGCUGCAAAUAUCACAAUUCAGUAAUCCCGUUUUAGCUAUCCUCUUAUGUAUCUAUAACGUCAUUACUCAACAGUUGAUUUGAAUCAUAAAGAUUUUAAAGUUUGCUAGCUUCAAAAUAAGUUGUGCAGUUUUAAUAAAUUUUGUAUAUGCUUGCACAAAUUUUUACAAAAUUUUAGGUGAAGUUAAUAAAUUAACGAAUAACGAAUUACUGUAUAUGCUUACACAGAUUUUCUCUGUAAAAGGUGUAUUUAUGUGGUCUACAUAUUAUAUCAACGUGGUAUAAAAGUGUAUCAAUCUAGGAUAAAAGUGUAUCAGUGCGGUAUCAAAGUGUAUCAAUAUAGUAUAAAACUGUAUCAAUAUGGUAUAAAAGUGUAUCAAUUGGGUAUAGAGACUGCAUGCAACCGACGAGUCAAAUGGCCAAAAAUCGGAAUUAAAUUGGGCCGACUGGCUCCAAUUGUUCAACUUUUAAAAUUGCUAGCCAUUUCUUUUCAAAAUGGUUAACCCAUGUCCUUUUUCCAUUAUUAAAACUAAAAAUUACACAAAUACACAACUUAUGUUUUCAAUAUUACAAAAAAUCCCAACUCCCUAAACAUAUUACAAAAAUUCCAACAUAUAUAUAGAAUGUUAUGUAUAUGUUGGUUAUGUUAUGUAUAUUAAUAGAGAGAGAGAGUAAAGUAAUUAAAAAAGUGGGAGAGAGUGUAAUUACUUCCAAAAGGGUUGGUAUUUAUGUUAUUUAUAUUUAUACUUAUUAAAAUCAUAGCUCAGCUCUAUCAAAUUACAGGCUAGAUCCAGCCGAACCAACGGGCCUGGUCAUAUCGAGGGCCCUAGAUUCAACAUUUGCUCAAGGAUUUGAUGGUGGUACUCUUUUCAUGUAAUCAAUCAGAUGCAUGUACGACCCUUUUUAUUUAUGAUCCUCGGUGUUCCAUAUCCUCUCUCAAUAUGAUCCUCUUUGCCUGAAUUAAUUUAUAGUAGUAGUUUUUAUCUAUAAUUUCACUAUAUAUCUAUAUAUAUACACACACAUUGUGUAUGAUCUGUAGUUAUUUUGAGCUUAAAAUUGUGUGCACGCAUAAUACAUUUUUAUUCUUGAAUUAUGUUAUGUAUGUAUUAGUUGAGUAGUGUGAUUUAUUUGUAAGGAAUCACACACAUUAGAUGCUAGAAUUUAAUCUAAAAAUUAAAGUUUAAAAAUAGAGAACUUAGAGAAAUUAUCAUAUGAUAUUAUUCUUUAUGUGAUAAUAUUCCGUAGCAGGUGUGUACGUGUUUAUCCGUAAAAACGAAUAUGCUGGUUGAGAUUUUCAAAUGCUUCUGUAAAUUUGGAAAAUAGAUGUUCCCUUCUGAAAUUUAAAAGAUUAACCGCAGUGCUAAAAAUAUUAACAUAUGAGCUAUUCUCUCUAGUUUAUAUUAACUUAAUUUGUGAGUCCUUUUUCAUUGUUCAUAAUAAUUUAAUUGUUCAAUCUUUAAGAGUGUUACUGAAAAUUUAUUUCAUGAAUUUAGGGUCUAUCAUGAAAUUCACUUGAAUAAAGCAUGGGGAAACUUAAAUUCAUGGCAUAAGGAAUUCAACAUCUUGCAUGGAAUCACAGGACUGAAUUGAAUUAAAAACACUAUGAAAUCAUGAAACUAAAUAUUUCUUGAACAUACAAAACUCCAUAAUAAGAAUAAAAUUUUAUUCUUUAAUUGAAAAAAGGGUUUUGGGACUCCAUGGGUGAAAGGAGCCCAUGAAUGAUCUCCCACAUACCUUAAAAGUUGGAUUUGAUGUAGAAGCUUGAAUUUUGAAUUUCUAAUGAUGUUUUUGAAGCUUCUUCUUGAAGUUCUUGAAUUAGGAAGCUUGGGUGUUCUUGCUUUUCUCAAAGAAAAUUUAAUGAAGUUCUUGGUGUUCUUGAGGGGGCUAGAGUUUUCUUGGAGAGAAAAAGAUGAAUAAUAAUGUAUCUAAUCCAUUUGGGACUGGAAUAAAUGUUAUGGACGGGUUUGGGUGAAGGACUAGACCCUUUUGGAACUGAAAUAGCGUGUGAAACAGCUCGAUAUUGUGUUGGCCAUCGUGUCGCAAUCGCGUCGGUUUACUAGCAUUAAUAAGUAUAUGAUAAUUCCUCUUUAAUAAGCUAAUUAUCCCCUUUUUAAACUUCAAUUUUUAGAUUAAUAUUAUAUUACCUUAUUAGUCUAGUAAUUAUUUUACUAGCAUUACCUUCUGCAAUGUACUUCAGUAAUGUAUGUGAUUACUUAAUUCAGCUGACAAAGCAAGUUAUUGAUCUAUUGAAACAUACAUCUUUAUUUUGUUUGUUUGUCAAUUAUUUUCACAUUUCUGAUUAAUCAAGUCAGAAGCAUGUAGUUAAUGCUUUGAGGUUAGGUAAGUUACAGAUCAAUCAUCCAAAUUACAACAUCCAAAACUAAUACGUACCAAGCACAAUUCCAGAACAAAAAUAUAUUAUGUGUUAGCAUAAUUAUUCUAAUAACUAAAUGAUGGCAUGCAGAUCAUACACACAAAGAGUAUGUCUGUAGUAUAUAUACAUGCCAGUCGCAUGGGUAGUGAAAUGAUAGAUAAAAAUUACUAUUACUAUAAAUUAAUUCAGACAGAGGGGAUCAUAUUGAGAAUAGCGACCUAGGCGUUUUACAUAUUCAAAUAGUUUUGAAAAAUUGUCAACUAGCUAGUUAAUUAGCAUGGAGAGUCAUCAUCUAUGUAUUAUAAUAUUAGUUAUAAUAGCUAUGAUUUGUAGCAAUGUUUCAAGCCAACACUAUCAAUUGAUGCAAUACGUUUUACAAUGGCCUCCAACUUAUUGCCAAAUGAAACAGUGCAAACAUGGUGCCCCAUUAAAAUUUACUAUCCAUGUUCUCUGGCCAGCUUCUACCUCAGGAAAAGCAUACAAUGCAAAUGCAGCAAUCCUAGAGUCGAAGACUUGAAAAUAGACGUUGUUGUAAGUGUUUAUCUUUUUUAGUAAUGAAGAGAAGAACAAAAUAACACACAAAAAAAUGUGCAUUGUGAGUAAAAAAGAUACACUUACAACAACGUCUACUUUCAGGCCUUCGGCUCUCAAAGGCGGAGUAAGAAUUUCAACGAAGGUGGUUUCAUAUUCAAGGAAAACUUAGGAUUUCAACUAAGGGGGUUCCAUAUUUAAAGAAAACUUAGUCGAAGGGGGUUCAACACCAACUAUAACCACAUAAAAAAUAAUUUUAGUCAUGUAUAAAUAGUAUAUUUUUUCGUCGAAGGGGAUUCGGCCGAACCCCCAAACAGAAGGCUGGCUCCGCCCCUGUCGGCUCUAGGAUUACUGCAUUUGCAUUGUAUGAUCUUCCCCGAGCUAGAAAAUGGCUAGAGGCCAUGGAUAGUAAACUAUAAUGGUGCACCAGGUUUGCACUGUUUCAUUUGGCAAUAUGUUGGAGGCCAUUCUAAAACGUAUUGCAUCAGUUGAUAGCAUUGACUUGAAACUUUGCUACAAAUCAUAGUUAUAACUAGGAUUAUAAUAAAUAGAUGACAACUCUCCAUGCCAAUUAACUAACUAGUUGACAAUUUUGUAAAGCUAUUUGAAUAUGUAAAAAGCCGAGGUCACUAUUCUCUCAAUAUAUACGAUCCCCUCUGCCUGAAUUAAUUUAUAGUAAUAG